CACGUGGGAACGUGCCCUUAGGUUCGGAAUAGCUCAGGGAAACUUGGGGUAAUACCGGAUGUGCCCUUCGGGGAAGAUUAUCGCCUUGGAGCGGCCCGCGUCUGAUUAGCUAGUUGGUGGGGUAAGUGGCCUACCAAGGCGACGAUCAGUAGCUGGUCUGAGAGGAUGACCAGCCACACUGGGACUGAGACACGGCCCAGACUCCUACGGGAGGCAGCAGUGGGGAAUCUUGCGCAAUGGGCGAAAGCCUGACGCAGCCAUGCCGCGUGGAUGAUGAAGGUCUUAGGAUUGUAAAAUCCU
RNAcentral lists this ribosomal RNA (300 nucleotides) under uncultured Caulobacteraceae bacterium. RNAcentral's name for it is "bacterial SSU rRNA". It matches the Rfam family "Bacterial small subunit ribosomal RNA", at positions 114 to 434 of the family's 1533-position model. The record is from RNAcentral. Lineage: Bacteria; Pseudomonadati; Pseudomonadota; Alphaproteobacteria; Caulobacterales; Caulobacteraceae.